GGGGAAUAUUGCACAAUGGGCGCAAGCCUGAUGCAGCCAUGCCGCGUGUAUGAAGAAGGCCUUCGGGUUGUAAAGUACUUUCAGCGAGGAGGAAGGCAUUGUGGUUAAUAACCACAGUGAUUGACGUUACUCGCAGAAGAAGCACCGGCUAACUCCGUGCCAGCAGCCGCGGUAAUACGGAGGGUGCAAGCGUUAAUCGGAAUUACUGGGCGUAAAGCGCACGCAGGCGGUCUGUCAAGUCGGAUGUGAAAUCCCCGGGCUCAACCUGGGAACUGCAUUCGAAACUGGCAGGCUAGAGUCUUGUAGAGGGGGGUAGAAUUCCAGGUGUAGCGGUGAAAUGCGUAGAGAUCUGGAGGAAUACCGGUGGCGAAGGCGGCCCCCUGGACAAAGACUGACGCUCAGGUGCGAAAGCGUGGGGAGCAAAC
RNAcentral lists this ribosomal RNA (425 nucleotides) under uncultured bacterium. RNAcentral's name for it is "bacterial SSU rRNA". It matches the Rfam family "Bacterial small subunit ribosomal RNA", at positions 356 to 773 of the family's 1533-position model. The record is from RNAcentral.